CAGUAGCCACGGUAAUACGAAGGGGGCUAGCGUUGUUCGGAUUAACUGGGCGUAAAGGGCGCGUAGGCGGGUUUUUAAGUCAGAGGUGAAAUCCCAAGGCUCAACCUUGGAACUGCCUUUGAUACUGGAAGUCUUGAGUCCGGGAGAGGUGAGUGGAACUGCGAGUGUAGAGGUGAAAUUCGUAGAUAUUCGCAAGAACACCAGUGGCGAAGGCGGCUCACUGGCCCGGUACUGACGCUGAGGCGCGAAAGCGUGGGGAGCAAACAGGAUUAGAUACCCGGGUAGUCCCUGUCUCUUAUAA
RNAcentral lists this ribosomal RNA (301 nucleotides) under uncultured bacterium. RNAcentral's name for it is "partial 16S ribosomal RNA". It matches the Rfam family "Bacterial small subunit ribosomal RNA", at positions 509 to 809 of the family's 1533-position model. The record is from RNAcentral.